GGGUUGUGAGGUUAAGCGACUAAGCGUACACGGUGGAUGCCCUGGCAGUCAGAGGCGAUGAAGGACGUGCUAAUCUGCGUAAAGCGACGGUAAGGUGAUAUGAACCGCUACAGCCGUCGAUGUCCGAAUGGGGAAACCCGGUGCACUCAGUGCAUCAUUGCAGCAUGAAUACAUAGUGCUGCAAGGCGAACCGGGGGAACUGAAACAUCUAAGUACCCCGAGGAAAAGAAAUCAACCGAGAUUCCCCCAGUAGCGGCGAGCGAACGGGGAGCAGCCCAGAGCCUGAAUCAGCUUGUGUGUUAGUGGAAGCGUCUGGAAAGUCGCAGGGUACAGGGUGAUACUCCCGUACACAAAAACACACAGGCUGUGAGCUCGAUGAGUAAGGCGGGACACGUGGUAUCCUGUCUGAAUAUGGGGGGACCAUCCUCCAAGGCUAAAUACUCCUGACUGACCGAUAGUGAACCAGUACCGUGAGGGAAAGGCGAAAAGAACCCCGGCGAGGGGAGUGAAACAGAACCUGAAACCGUGUACGUACAAGCAGUGGGAGCCUUCUUUAUGGGGGUGACUGCGUACCUUUUGUAUAAUGGGUCAGCGACUUAUAUUCUGUAGCAAGGUUAACCGUAUAGGGGAGCCGCAGGGAAACCGAGUCUUAACUGGGCGUUAAGUUGCAGGGUAUAGACCCGAAACCCGGUGAUCUAGCCAUGGGCAGGUUGAAGGUUGGGUAACACUAACUGGAGGACCGAACCGACUAAUGUUGAAAAAUUAGCGGAUGACCUGUGGCUGGGGGUGAAAGGCCAAUCAAACCGGGAGAUAGCUGGUUCUCCCCGAAAGCUAUUUAGGUAGCGCCUCGUGAACUCAUCUUCGGGGGUAGAGCACUGUUUCGGCUAGGGGGCCAUCCCGGCUUACCAACCCGAUGCAAACUGCGAAUACCGAAGAAUGUUAUCACGGGAGACACACGGCGGGUGCUAACGUCCGUCGUGAAGAGGGAAACAACCCAGACCGCCAGCUAAGGUCCCAAAGUCAUGGUUAAGUGGGAAACGAUGUGGGAAGGCACAGACAGCCAGGAUGUUGGCUUAGAAGCAGCCAUCAUUUAAAGAAAGCGUAAUAGCUCACUGGUCGAGUCGGCCUGCGCGGAAGAUGUAACGGGGCUAAACCAUGCACCGAAGCUGCGGCAGCGACACUAUGUGUUGUUGGGUAGGGGAGCGUUCUGUAAGCCGUCGAAGGUGUGCUGUGAGGCAUGCUGGAGGUAUCAGAAGUGCGAAUGCUGACAUAAGUAACGAUAAAGCGGGUGAAAAGCCCGCUCGCCGGAAGACCAAGGGUUCCUGUUCAACGUUAAUCGGAGCAGGGUGAGUCGACCCCUAAGGCGAGGCCGAAAGGCGUAGUCGAUGGGAAACAGGUUAAUAUUCCUGUACUUGGUGUUACUGCGAAGGGGGGACGGAGAAGGCUAUAUCAGCCGGGCGACGGUUGUCCCGGUUUAAGCGUGUAGGUGUGUGUUCCAGGCAAAUCCGGUUCACUUUACACUGAGGCGUGACGACGAGGCACUACGGUGCUGAAGUGAUAAAUGCCCUGCUUCCAGGAAAAGCCUCUAAGCAUCAGGUAACACAAAAUCGUACCCCAAACCGACACAGGUGGUCAGGUAGAGAAUACCAAGGCGCUUGAGAGAACUCGGGUGAAGGAACUAGGCAAAAUGGUGCCGUAACUUCGGGAGAAGGCACGCUGGCGCGUAGGUGGAGGGACUUGCUCCCCGAGCCGAAGCCAGUCGAAGAUACCAGCUGGCUGCAACUGUUUAUUAAAAACACAGCACUGUGCAAACACGAAAGUGGACGUAUACGGUGUGACGCCUGCCCGGUGCCGGAAGGUUAAUUGAUGGGGUUAUCCGUAAGGAGAAGCUCUUGAUCGAAGCCCCGGUAAACGGCGGCCGUAACUAUAACGGUCCUAAGGUAGCGAAAUUCCUUGUCGGGUAAGUUCCGACCUGCACGAAUGGCGUAAUGAUGGCCAGGCUGUCUCCACCCGAGACUCAGUGAAAUUGAACUCGCUGUGAAGAUGCAGUGUACCCGCGGCAAGACGGAAAGACCCCGUGAACCUUUACUACAGCUUGACACUGAACAUUGAGCCUUGAUGUGUAGGAUAGGUGGGAGGCUUUGAAGCGC
This 2150-nucleotide ribosomal RNA is filed under the name Pantoea sp. 3.5.1. Its description in RNAcentral is "bacterial LSU rRNA". It matches the Rfam family "Bacterial large subunit ribosomal RNA", at positions 1 to 2165 of the family's 2925-position model. Lineage: Bacteria; Pseudomonadati; Pseudomonadota; Gammaproteobacteria; Enterobacterales; Erwiniaceae. The record is from RNAcentral.